Molecule: ribosomal RNA, 464 nt
Filed under: uncultured bacterium
Lineage: Bacteria
Description: partial 16S ribosomal RNA
Rfam family: Bacterial small subunit ribosomal RNA
Source: RNAcentral
GACGAACGCUGGCGGCGUGCUUAACACAUGCAAGUCGAACGGUAAGGCCCUACCUUGCUGGGGUACUCGAGUGGCGAACGGGUGAGUAACACGUGGGUGACCUGCCCCUCACUUUGGGAUAAGCUUGGGAAACUGGGUCUAAUACCGGAUAGGACCGCACCGUGCGGGUUUGGUGGUAAGUUUUUCGGUUGGGUAUGGGUCCGCGGCCUAUCAGCUUGUUGGUGGGGUAGUGGCCUACCAAGGCUGCGACGGGUAGCCGGCCUGAGAGGGUGGACGGCCACAUUGGGACUGAGACACGGCCCAGACUCCUACGGGAGGCAGCAGUGGGGAAUAUUGCACAAUGGGCGGAAGCCUGAUGCAGCAACGCCGCGUGGGGGAUGACGGCCUUCGGGUUGUAAACGCCUUUCGCCUGUGACGAAGGUUGUGUGACGGUAGUGGGAGAAGAAGCACCGGCUAACUACGUG